UCGGGUGCAGUUGGAUCUGCG
This 21-nucleotide microRNA is filed under the name Asparagus officinalis (garden asparagus). RNAcentral's name for it is "aof-miR12143". Lineage: Eukaryota; Viridiplantae; Streptophyta; Magnoliopsida; Asparagales; Asparagaceae. The record is from miRBase by way of RNAcentral.